Molecule: ribosomal RNA, 497 nt
Filed under: uncultured bacterium
Lineage: Bacteria
Description: partial 16S ribosomal RNA
Rfam family: Bacterial small subunit ribosomal RNA
Source: RNAcentral
GAUGAACGCUGGCGGCGUGCCUAAUACAUGCAAGUCGAGCGAACAGACGAGGAGCUUGCUCCUUUGACGUUAGCGGCGGACGGGUGAGUAACACGUAGGUAACCUACCUAUAAGACUGGGAUAACUUCGGGAAACCGGAGCUAAUACCGGAUAAUAUUUCGAACCGCAUGGUUCGAUAGUGAAAGAUGGCUUUGCUAUCACUUAUAGAUGGACCUGCGCCGUAUUAGCUAGUUGGUAAGGUAACUGCUUACCAAGGCAACGAUACGUAGCCGACCUGAGAGGGUGAUCGGCCACACUGGAACUGAGACACGGUCCAGACUCCUACGGGAGGCAGCAGUAGGGAAUCUUCCGCAAUGGGCGAAAGCCUGACGGAGCAACGCCGCGUGAGUGAUGAAGGUCUUCGGAUCGUAAAACUCUGUUAUUAGGGAAGAACAAACGUGUAAGUAACUGUGCACGUCUUGACGGUACCUAAUCAGAAAGCCACGGCUAACUACGUG